CAACUUGCAGCAGGCCAAGAAGUUGAUGUUUCAAGCAAGAAGAACAAAAGUGGUAGGAAGAGAAAAGAACUAGAUCUGUCGAGAAUAGCCACGAUCCCUUUGAACAAAAGAAGAACAAUCCGUUCUCUAGCAAGGUGUUUAGGUGUGCCCCAAUCAACCCUACAUGACAGAUUUCAAUUGCAAGAGCUGAAACGCAUCACAAGCACCAUCCAACCCACCCUCAAGCCAUAG
This 231-nucleotide ribosomal RNA is filed under the name Triticum aestivum (bread wheat). Its description in RNAcentral is "partial small subunit ribosomal RNA". Lineage: Eukaryota; Viridiplantae; Streptophyta; Magnoliopsida; Poales; Poaceae. The record is from RNAcentral.